CCCGCUUAUUUAGUAGUAUUAGACUCCACUGCACAGGACCGCAGGGGAUUAGUGUUAUGGCUUUUAGAUUGCGAGGACAAGACCCGGCACGGACUUUCCGACCCGAUUGGAGACGCUGCUCUCCCAAACGGACGGGCAAUGGAACGACGUAAUCUCGGCUGUCGACGACGACGACGAAUUGGAGGAAAACCCGGACGGCGAGGAUUUAGAGGAGGAGGCGGGAGAGUUGUUCUGGGUGUUGUUUCCGAGGCGCGUGACGGUGAGGGAAGUGUUGAAGUACU
RNAcentral lists this long non-coding RNA (281 nucleotides) under Malus domestica (apple). Its description in RNAcentral is "long non-coding RNA (MDOM_LNC007096)". Lineage: Eukaryota; Viridiplantae; Streptophyta; Magnoliopsida; Rosales; Rosaceae. The record is from RNAcentral.